AGAGUUUGAUCCUGGCUCAGAAUCAACGCUGGCGGCGUGCCUAACACAUGCAAGUCGAACGAGAAAGUGGAGCAAUCCAUGGGUAAAGUGGCGCACGGGUGAGUAACACGUGACUAACCUACCCUGGAGUGGGGGAUAACUGAGGGAAACCUUAGCUAAUACCGCAUAAUACCUACGGGUCAAAGGAGCAAUUCGCUCUAGGAGGGGGUCGCGGCAGAUUAGCUAGUUGGCGGGGUAAUGGCCCACCAAGGCAGUGAUCUGUAUCCGGCCUGAGAGGGCGCACGGACACACUGGAACUGAAACACGGUCCAGACUCCUACGGGAGGCAGCAGUGGGGAAUUUUGCGCAAUGGGGGAAACCCUGACGCAGCAACGCCGCGUGGAGGAUGAAGUCCCUUGGGACGUAAACUCCUUUCGAUCGGGACGAUUAUGACGGUACCGGAAGAAGAAGCCCCGGCUAACUUCGUGCCAGCAGCCGCGGUAAUACGAGGGGGGCGAGCGUUGUUCGGAAUUAUUGGGCGUAAAGGGUGCGUAGGCGGUUUGGUAAGUCUUGUGUGAAAUCUUCGGGCUCAACUCGAAGUCUGCACGAGAAACUGCCGGGCUUGAGUAUGGGAGAGGUGAGUGGAAUUCCCGGUGUAGCGGUGAAAUGCGUAGAGAUCAUGAGGAAGACCGUGGCGAAGGCGGGUCUCUGGACAGUUCCUGACACUGAGACACGAAGGCCAGGGGAGCAAACGGGAUUAGAUACCCUAGUAGUCC
RNAcentral lists this ribosomal RNA (755 nucleotides) under uncultured bacterium. RNAcentral's name for it is "bacterial SSU rRNA". It matches the Rfam family "Bacterial small subunit ribosomal RNA", at positions 8 to 796 of the family's 1533-position model. The record is from RNAcentral.